This 406-nucleotide ribosomal RNA is filed under the name uncultured bacterium. Its description in RNAcentral is "partial 16S ribosomal RNA". It matches the Rfam family "Bacterial small subunit ribosomal RNA", at positions 29 to 526 of the family's 1533-position model. The record is from RNAcentral.
AAUGAACGCUGGCGGCAGGCUUAACACAUGCAAGUCGAGCGAGCGGCGGACGGGUGAGUAAUGUAAGGGAAAAUGCCUGAUGGAGGGGGAUAACUACUGGAAACGGUAGCUAAUACCGAAUACCAGCAGAUGUGCCCAGAUGGGAUAAGCGAUUAGGUGGGGUAAUGGCUCACCUAGGCGACGAUCCCUAGCUGGUCUGAGAGGUUGACCAGCCACACUUGAACUUGGACACGGUCCAGACUCCUACGGUAGGCAGCAGUGGGGAAUAUUGCACAAUGGGCGCAAGCCUGAUACAGCCAUGCCGCGUGUGUGAAGAAGGCCUUCGGGUUGUAAAGCACUUUCAGCGAGGAGGCGUUACUCGCAGAAGAAGCACCGGCUAACUCCGUGCCAGCAGCCGCGGUAAUUC